Paramuricea clavata is the source of this 883-nucleotide non-coding RNA. The record is from the annotation of a GenBank genome assembly. Lineage: Eukaryota; Metazoa; Cnidaria; Anthozoa; Malacalcyonacea; Plexauridae.
GUCAUGUGCAUACGUCUUUAUACCAGCUAAAGAACACUUUAACAAAAGACCAUUGUUAUGCAAACUAUAUAAAGGUUUUUAUAUAAAGAUUUUUAUAUAAAGAUUUUUAUAUAAAGAUUUUUAUAUAAAGAUUUGACUUAUUAUGCAUACGUUUUUGAAGUCAUUUAAAAAACUAGCGGGUCGUGUUUUAUUAGGUCUAAAGCCACUCGCACUGCGCGCUCGUGGCUUUAAACCUAAUAAAACACUCCCGCUCAUUUUUUAAAUAGUACAUAAAGCACUAUACUUUAAUAAAAUAAUUUAUUAUACAGUAGAUACAAUUAAUGUUUGCUUCAUUAAACUUCCAACACAUGCAAACCAAUUAUGGCAGCUUAUUUUAGAAUACUAUACCUAUACUGAACCAUUUCUUUUUCAGUAGUUCAGGCAUUAUAUUACCACAGCAGUUUAUAAUAAUCAAUUUAAUCAUGCCAUUGCAUGCAAAUUAAGUUUUGUCAUCUAAGACCAGAAUUCAUAUGUGAUCAAAAAUAUUAACCUUGUAUAUAGAAAUAAUCUAAUAUUCCUCAUAGGUAAAGUUCAUGAGAAGAACUUGCCAUGCACUGAACUAUUGUUGGACAAAAUUGAGGCAGGAAGGGGAGAAAAGACUCUAAAGUUUGGCGAGGAAGGUAUUGUGUCUUAAUUUUGCAGUUUCUCUUAAUUUUAUUUGAACAAAAAAGUAUGUAAGUCUUGCAGUUAUAGCUCAUUAAAUAAUUUAAUGUUUCACUCAAUUUAUGUUGCUUAUAUAAUUGUAGAACAAACUAAAGAAGAUGACUUAUCCAGAGUCAAUGGGGUACCCCAUUGCAUGGAAUCCACUGGUGGAUAUGGUAAAUAUAUGAAACUGUAUUUGUUC